RNAcentral lists this microRNA precursor (199 nucleotides) under Setaria italica (foxtail millet). RNAcentral describes it as "MIR1435 microRNA precursor family". It matches the Rfam family "MIR1435 microRNA precursor family". Lineage: Eukaryota; Viridiplantae; Streptophyta; Magnoliopsida; Poales; Poaceae. The record is from Rfam by way of RNAcentral.
UAGAUUUGUCCUAAGUCAAGCUUCUAUUAAGUUUGACCAAAUUUAUGUAAGAGUAUCAACAUCUACCAAAUCAAAGAAGUACACUAUGAAAAUGUUUUUCGUAAUGGAUAAAAUAAUACUAAUUUGAUAUCGUAAAUGUUGUUAUUCUUUUCUAUAAGCUUAGUCAAACUGAAGACGGUUUGACUUAGGACAAAACUAG